RNAcentral lists this ribosomal RNA (217 nucleotides) under uncultured bacterium. RNAcentral describes it as "partial 16S ribosomal RNA". It matches the Rfam family "Bacterial small subunit ribosomal RNA", at positions 526 to 740 of the family's 1533-position model. The record is from RNAcentral.
UACGGGGGGCAAGCGUUUGUUCGGAAUUACUGGGCGUAAAGGGCUCGUAGGUGGCCAACUAAGUCAGACGUGAAAUCCCUCGGCUUAACCGGGGAACUGCGUCUGAUACUGGAUGGCUUGAGUUCGGGGAGAGGGAUGCGGAAUUCCAGGUGUAGCGGUGAAAUGCGUAGAUAUCAGGAGGAACACCGGUGGCGAAGGCAAUCCCCUGGGCCUGCAC